This is a long non-coding RNA of Oncorhynchus gorbuscha (pink salmon), 273 nucleotides long. RefSeq lists it as uncharacterized. The transcript is spliced from 3 exons. Lineage: Eukaryota; Metazoa; Chordata; Actinopteri; Salmoniformes; Salmonidae. The record is from RefSeq and is a predicted model, not a curated record.
UGAAGACAGACUGAAGACAAGAGGCAAACACCUGUGUGUAAACUUAACACGGGAAGUGUCGUUUCAUUGGAUGGAGACACACAUAGUUGUAUGUAUCUGUGCAAAACUGCUACACCACAAGGCUCAAAUCACUCUAGAACAGAGGAAGUCAAGACACAAACCAAACUAAUGCUGAUGAUCAGUCCAAGAAUGACUUUGCGAAUGCAAGAGAAACGGUACACUUCAUCUCUACUCAGUUUUUUCAUCUAUUAUCCUUCAUUUUGGCCAUGGGAG